This 342-nucleotide ribosomal RNA is filed under the name uncultured bacterium. Its description in RNAcentral is "bacterial SSU rRNA". It matches the Rfam family "Bacterial small subunit ribosomal RNA", at positions 1 to 334 of the family's 1533-position model. The record is from RNAcentral.
GUACUACUCUCAGAGUUUGAUCCUGGCUCAGGAUAAACGCUGACAGAAUGCUUAACACAUGCAAGUCGAUGAUGGGAGCUAAGCCUAGCUUAGAAGAAGUCAUGGCGGACGGGUGAGUAACGUGUAAAGAACUUGCCCUCUAGACUGGGAUAACAGAUAGAAAUGUCUGAUAAUACUGGAUAUUAUUGUUACAUGGCAUCAUGUAGGAAUGAAAGGAUAAGAUUGCUAGAGGAGAGCUUUGCAUCCUAUUAGCUAGUUGGUAAGGUAGGGGCUUACCAAGGCGAUGAUAGGUAGCCGGCCUGAGAGGGUGAACGGCCACAAGGGGACUGAGACACGGCCCUU